AACGAACGCUGGCGGCAUGCCUAACACAUGCAAGUAGAACGAAGGCUUCGGCCUUAGUGGCGCACGGGUGCGUAACGCGUGGGAAUCUGCCCCUCGGUUCGGAAUAACAGUUAGAAAUGACUGCUAAUACCGGAUGAUGACUUCGGUGAAAAGAUUUAUCGCCGAGGGAUGAGCCCGCGUAAGAUUAGGCAGUUGGUGGGGUAAGGGCCUACCAAGCCGACGAUCUUUAGCUGGUCUGAGAGGAUGAUCAGCCACACUGGGACUGAGACACGGCCCAGACUCCUACGGGAGGCAGCAGUGGGGAAUAUUGGACAAUGGGCGAAAGCCUGAUCCAGCAAUGCCGCGUGAGUGAUGAAGGCCUUAGGGUUGUAAAGCUCUUUUACCAGGGAUGAUAAUGACAGUACCUGGAGAAUAAGCUCCGGCUAACUCCGUGCCAGCCGCCGCGGUAA
RNAcentral lists this ribosomal RNA (449 nucleotides) under uncultured bacterium. RNAcentral describes it as "partial 16S ribosomal RNA". It matches the Rfam family "Bacterial small subunit ribosomal RNA", at positions 29 to 523 of the family's 1533-position model. The record is from RNAcentral.